Molecule: transfer RNA, 89 nt
Filed under: Salmonella enterica subsp. enterica serovar Enteritidis str. EC20120219
Lineage: Bacteria; Pseudomonadati; Pseudomonadota; Gammaproteobacteria; Enterobacterales; Enterobacteriaceae
Description: tRNA-Ser
Rfam family: tRNA
About the family: Transfer RNA (tRNA) molecules are approximately 80 nucleotides in length. Their secondary structure includes four short double-helical elements and three loops (D, anti-codon, and T loops).
Source: RNAcentral
AGUUAAUGUUGAAUAGGCAUAACGGAMCGGUCUCGAAAACCGGAGUAGGGGCAACUCUACCGGGGGUUCAAAUCCCCCUCUCUCCGCCA